RNAcentral lists this ribosomal RNA (540 nucleotides) under Triticum aestivum (bread wheat). Its description in RNAcentral is "partial small subunit ribosomal RNA". The record is from RNAcentral. Lineage: Eukaryota; Viridiplantae; Streptophyta; Magnoliopsida; Poales; Poaceae.
AUGUCACCAAAUAAUAGAAGUCCGGGGCCGGACGGGUUCACAAAUGAGUUCUAUAAUGAUUUCAAGCACCUGCUUAAGGAUGAUCUGCUCAAGUUCUUCGGGGAUUUCCAUGCAAAUCAAGUUGCUCUGGAUGGUAUCAACACGGCUUAUAUAACCUUGCUGCCCAAAGUGGAGUCGCCGAUGGAGAUGCGGGAUUUCAAGCCUAUAUCUCUGGUGCAUAGCGCCCCUAAACUGGUGUCCAAGGUGUUGACAUGCAGGCUACAGCGUUGCAUUCCAGGUUUAGUGCACUCACUGCAGUCUGGGUUUUUGAGAGGAAGAUCCAUUGUGGAAAAUUUUUCUUUGGCAACGAAAAUGACCCAAGCAGUGCAUAAAAGGAGGGCACCAGUGAUUGCUUUGAAGUUGGACUUACGCAAGGCUUUCGAUUCGGUCAGAUGGGAUUGCCUCACCCAGGUUAUGCAAGCCAGGGGUUCCCCCCCCCCCCUUGUGGGUGCAGUGGAUCCAUGCUCUCCUCUCCACUGGAUGAUCGAGAGUGUUGAUUAA